Molecule: transfer RNA, 63 nt
Filed under: Ischnomera caerulea
Lineage: Eukaryota; Metazoa; Arthropoda; Insecta; Coleoptera; Oedemeridae
Description: tRNA-Pro
Source: RNAcentral
CAGAAAAUAGUUUUAUAUAAAAUAUUAAUUUUGGAGAUUAAAGUUGAGUAGUUUCUUUUCUGA